AGCAAUUCUUGUGCCUCAGCCUCCCAAACCGGGAUUACAGAAAAUUCCUCCAGGUCUUCUGAAAAGGUUGGCAUGCUGAGGGACAGCUGAGUAAGCUUCAAUCAUGGAGAAAAGAUAAUAUCCUACAGGAAGGAGAAACAAUAUAACAGGAACCUGGGUCUCUGAAUGAACUUGUGAAGCAGAGCUACCUAUCCGCCCUGGGCCACUUGCCCACCUAUGAGGUGAUAGAAAAACAAACUUCCAUCUAAUUUAAGCCACUGUGUUUCUGAAUCUCUUUGUUAUAUCAUUUUAGCCUAUGCCUUACUAAUAUACUUCCUAAAGUUAAAUGAGCAAGUUAUGUAGUUACGUAGUUAACUAUGAGGUGUGUGUAUGUACAUACCAUUGUUUUCAUGCCUAAUAUAUCUGAUUCUAAACACUUAAAACUUCACUCUCUAGUUCCAAGUGAAACACAGGUAAAAUAAAAUGUGAGCAAUAAAUGGCAUAAAGACAGGUUUUCUGCUUAAACAAUUUGGAGUUUAAAAGGUCAACUGUGUAACUGUAGGACCUAUCCUUUUCGUAUGCCAAUUCUUCAGCCUUCCCAGCAGUUCUGGGAACUAUUAUGAUUCAAUAACUUCCUAUUUCUGUUUAAAUCAUCCAGUCAACUUCAGUUGCUUAAAACUAAGAACUUUGAUGGAUGCAGCAUACAGAUAGCCUUCAGAGGGUUCAUGAACUCCUUGAACCCUAUAUGAAAUAUUUCACACACACACACACACACACACACACAGUGUUUUCUGGGGAGAGGUUACAUAGCUUAUGUCACAUUCUCAAUGGAGUCCAUGAUAAGAUGUGGGCAUAUAUGUGAGAGGGGAGACAAUGCAAUAUUAUCCUUUCCAGAUACAAGUUCAUUAUAAACUUCUUCUGCUAUCCCUGGAAACACAUUUUUUUUUUCAUUAGAGGAAUUUAAUUUAAAACUGAACCAGAAUUAAUAGACUAGAUCAAAUAAUAAGAUGCAGAGACAACAUAAAGAAGGUCAAGAAAAAGGAGAAUGCCCAUGAGGAGUGGUGAUAUUAUGCAGAUAACCUCUUGUUGGGAGGGGAGGAGGACCUAUGCCUUCAGGAUGAGUUGAAGAGUAGCAAAUCAACUGACCAAAAAAUAAGAGUUUGGGCUAUCUGCAGUGGAAAGACAGAGAGGCAAGCAACCAGUAAGAUGGGGUAGAAGACUGUGGAUAAGGAGUUAUGGGGCCAGGUGUGGUGGCUCAUGCUUGUAAUCCUAGCACUUUGGGAGGCCGAGGUGGACAGAUCACUUGAGCUCAGGAGUUUGAGACCAGCCUGGCCAACGCGGUGAAACCCCAUCUCUACUAAAAAUACAGAAAAAUUAGCUAGGCAUGGUGGUACGUGCUUGUAAUCCCAGCUACUCUGGGGGCUGAGGCAGGAGAAUCGCUUGAACCCAGGAGGCAAAGACUGCAGUGACCCAAGAUCCCGCCACUGCAUUCCAGUCUAGCCUGGGUGACAGAGUGAGACUUUGUCUCACUAAAAAAAAAAAAAAAAGAGUUAUGGGUGAGUCAAGAGAUUAUACUUGUAAUGUAGCCAAGCUUGGCAUUCUCAAGAACUAAGAGAAGAGAAUUAACUGAAGAAAGAAGGUGAAACUAGUUAGAAUGAAUAAUUAGCUAUAUGCUACAGCUGAACUCUGUGAUUAGUCACAAGUAUAUAGGCAAUAUAUUAAUAGUACAGUGUUUGUUAAGAGCAUGAAAUCUACAACUUAAUUUGAGUUCAAAAAUGCAACCAUUUCCAAGUGAUCAAGGUCACUACCAACAGUGGUAAGACAGAUUAAUGGUGUGUAUCUUUGAUAUGAUGUGAAAAAAAUGGCACUUUAUCUCUGUGAUAUUCCUCCCCAAAGCCCAUAACCUCAGUCUAAUUAUGGGAAAACAAAUCUCAACUGAGUAAGGCAUUCUACAAAACACCUGAUUAGUACUCCCAAAACUGCCAAGGUCAUCAAAAGCAAGUAAAAUCUAGGAAACUGUCACAGCCAAGAGGAGGCUAAGGAGACAUAAUGAUUUAAUGUAAUGCGAUAUCUUGGAUAGGAUCCUCGAACAGAAAAAGGGCAUUAGGUAAGAAACUAAAGAAAUGUGAAUAAAGUAUGGACUUUAGUUAAUAAUAAUGUAUCACCACUGGUUCAUUACUAUAACCCAUGCACCAUAUUAAUGUGAGAUAUAAAUAACAGGGGAACCUGGGUAUGGGGUAUAUAGGAACUUAGUGUAUCAUCUUUGUAAUUUUCCUGUAAAUGUAAAAUGGUUCUAAAAAAAUAAAGUUUCUUUUUAAAAAAUGCAGCUAUUUUACUUACUAACCUUGAGCAAGUUAGCUUUUCUGUGUCUCACUUGACUCAUCUAUAAAAUUAGAAUUAGGUUGAUAAUAGCAGCAACCUAACUCAAGAAUUUGUUGUGAAGACUAAAUGAGUUAAUAUAGUAAAGUGCUUAGAACAGUGCCUCACAGUUAGGAAGCACUGCUUAGUAUCAGCAAUGAUUAUUUUUUAACACAGAUGCUCCUUAACUUAUGAUGGUGUUGUGUCUGGAUAAACCCAUCAAAAAUAGAAAAUGCGCUUUCAACUUAGGAUAUUUUUUCAACAUAUUGUGGGUUUAUUGGGACAUACCCCAUUGUAAGUUGAGGAAUGUACUGAAUGCAUGUUGCUUUUCCAUCAUCGUAAAGUUGAAAAAUUUUAUGUCAGGAGGCAUCUGUACUUGUAAAGUGCAGUAAAAUUGUAUGCAAAAGGAGUAAAAAACAGCCUGAUAUUAAACUCUAACUUUAUAAAUGAAAUUUGAAAUAAAAUUCCUCCAAUUGAAAAUAUGUCAAAAAUUACAUAAUUUCAAGGUCAGUAAAUCAAGGGAAGUAUAAAUCAUGUUUAUACUAUGGUUACAUGGUGGGCCGCCAUAUAGAUUUUG
RNAcentral lists this long non-coding RNA (2914 nucleotides) under Homo sapiens (human). Its description in RNAcentral is "HSALNT0319251". Lineage: Eukaryota; Metazoa; Chordata; Mammalia; Primates; Hominidae. The record is from RNAcentral.